RNAcentral lists this long non-coding RNA (791 nucleotides) under Elaeis guineensis (African oil palm). RNAcentral describes it as "long non-coding RNA (EGUI_LNC070795)". Lineage: Eukaryota; Viridiplantae; Streptophyta; Magnoliopsida; Arecales; Arecaceae. The record is from RNAcentral.
UUUUCUAAGCAUAGAUUAUUGAAAUUUGUCAUUGCCUUCAAUAGUCCUGAAGGUGAAUCAUGUUUGAAAUAAUUGACUUAAGUUGGUUCACCUUUAAAAUUGCGUCGUCGCCCUCAUCUAGCAUUUGUUUUGAUGUGAGAUUCUCAGUGAAUGGUGGGAGCAUUCAAAUAAGCCAUGAAACAAACAGCAAGAGAAUUCUGUAUAUAGAUCAAAGAUGUCCCUGAUGGUACAAUUCUCUUCAACUUUUCAUCACACCUGACCUUGAAGAAUCUCUAUGAAAUGAAGAAGGCGAAGAAGAGUGUAUGUUAAUCAACUCAUGUUCUUGAUACUGUUUUUAGUAACAGAUUCAACACCCAUUUUGUAUGUGGUGUUGUGGAUAACUUUCUUAAAAUUCAGCAUUCUCCUGUGACAGCAUGUAGGAUCCUGCAGUGAAGUCAAUGCAAACUCUUUAGAUGGAUUUUGGUUGAUGUCCUUCAAACAGUCAGAAAUUGUGACAUUGACAAAAGGGGAAAAAAAAUCAAGAACGAGAAUAAAAAAAAAUCAGAAAUAAAAUAAAAAACAAGAGAUGACUAUGAAUGGUAGGCAGGGCAUGUAGGUAUUGUCUAUGGAUGAAUAAUGACUCUGGAAAUGGUUAGAGGCAUUAAAUGAAUAAAAAUACAUAGUAUAAAUGACUUGCAUCAUAAAACUCAACGAAGUCAGAGAUUUCUAAUAUUUUUUCUACUCAUCACAUGUCACACACUAUUCAAGUUGAUGUCAUUUGCUUCCUAUGCUCCUCUUUUCAAAAUCUUCAA